Molecule: ribosomal RNA, 626 nt
Filed under: Pseudozyma alboarmeniaca
Lineage: Eukaryota; Fungi; Basidiomycota; Ustilaginomycetes; Ustilaginales; Ustilaginaceae
Description: LSU rRNA
Rfam family: Eukaryotic large subunit ribosomal RNA
Source: RNAcentral
CGGAGGAAAAGAAACUAACAAGGAUUCCCCUAGUAACGGCGAGUGAAGAGGGAAGAGCCCAAGAUUGAAAGCUGGCGUCUUCGACGUCCGCAUUGUAAUCUCAAGAAGUGUUUUCCGCUUCGGACCAAGCCUAAGUCCCCUGGAAAGGGGCAUCAUAGAGGGUGAUAAUCCCGUACAUGGCUUGGAGCGCCCGUAGCUUUGUGAUACACUUUCUAAGAGUCGAGUUGUUUGGGAAUGCAGCUCAAAAUGGGUGGUAAAUGCCAUCUAAGGCUAAAUAUUGGGGAGAGACCGAUAGCGAACAAGUACAGUGAUGGAAAGAUGAAAAGAACUUUGAAAAGAGAGUUAAACAGUACGUGAAAUUGCCAAAAGGGAAGGGUAGGAGGUCAGAGAUGCGGCCUGGGAUUCAGCCUUGCUUUUGCUUGGUGUUUUUCCCAGAUUGCAGGCCAACGUCGGUUUUGGGCACUGGAGAAUGGUGGAAGGAACGUGGCACCUCUCGGGGUGUGUUAUAGCCUUCUACUGGAUACAGCGACCGAGACCGAGGACAGCAGCGUACUCGCAAGAGCGGGCCUUCGGGCACCUUUACGCUUAGGGCGUUGGCAUAAUGGCCCUCUACCACCCGUCUUGAA